RNAcentral lists this ribosomal RNA (730 nucleotides) under Rhodococcus sp. (in: high G+C Gram-positive bacteria). RNAcentral's name for it is "bacterial SSU rRNA". It matches the Rfam family "Bacterial small subunit ribosomal RNA", at positions 105 to 848 of the family's 1533-position model. The record is from RNAcentral. Lineage: Bacteria; Bacillati; Actinomycetota; Actinomycetes; Mycobacteriales; Nocardiaceae.
GGUGAGUAACACGUGGGUGAUCUGCCCUGCACUUCGGGAUAAGCCUGGGAAACUGGGUCUAAUACCGGAUAUGACCUCCUAUCGCAUGGUGGGUGGUGGAAAGAUUUAUCGGUGCAGGAUGGGCCCGCGGCCUAUCAGCUUGUUGGUGGGGUAAUGGCCUACCAAGGCGACGACGGGUAGCCGACCUGAGAGGGUGACCGGCCACACUGGGACUGAGACACGGCCCAGACUCCUACGGGAGGCAGCAGUGGGGAAUAUUGCACAAUGGGCGAAAGCCUGAUGCAGCGACGCCGCGUGAGGGAUGACGGCCUUCGGGUUGUAAACCUCUUUCAGCAGGGACGAAGCGCAAGUGACGGUACCUGCAGAAGAAGCACCGGCUAACUACGUGCCAGCAGCCGCGGUAAUACGUAGGGUGCAAGCGUUGUCCGGAAUUACUGGGCGUAAAGAGUUCGUAGGCGGUUUGUCGCGUCGUUUGUGAAAACCAGCAGCUCAACUGCUGGCUUGCAGGCGAUACGGGCAGACUUGAGUACUGCAGGGGAGACUGGAAUUCCUGGUGUAGCGGUGAAAUGCGCAGAUAUCAGGAGGAACACCGGUGGCGAAGGCGGGUCUCUGGGCAGUAACUGACGCUGAGGAACGAAAGCGUGGGUAGCGAACAGGAUUAGAUACCCUGGUAGUCCACGCCGUAAACGGUGGGCGCUAGGUGUGGGUUCCUUCCACGGAAUCCGUGCCG